RNAcentral lists this ribosomal RNA (331 nucleotides) under Protonemura lateralis. RNAcentral's name for it is "partial small subunit ribosomal RNA". Lineage: Eukaryota; Metazoa; Arthropoda; Insecta; Plecoptera; Nemouridae. The record is from RNAcentral.
UUUUAGUCUGUUCAGAGGAACCUGUCCCGUAAUCGAUAUUCCACGUUAAACCUUACUUAUUUUUGUUAUCAGCUUGUAUACCGCCGUCGUCAGAAUGUCCUAAGAAGGGUUUAAUUUUCUUAAAUUUUUAUUAAAAAUGAUGUCAGGUCAAGGUGUAGCUUACGAAUAAGUGGUGAUGGGUUACAAUAAAUUUAUUUAUAACGAAUAAAGUUUUGAAAUAUUCUUUUGAAGGUGGAUUUGACGGUAAUUAACUUAAUUAAAUUAAUUUGAUUUUAGCUCUAAAACAUGCACACAUCGCCCGUCGCUCUCGUUAAUUAAGGCGAGAUAAGUC